GAGGGUGUAACUCAAAGCAGUAGAGCACAUGCUUAGCAUGCAAAAGAUCCUGGGUUCAAUCCCCAGCAUCUCCU
This 74-nucleotide transfer RNA is filed under the name Camelus bactrianus (Bactrian camel). It matches the Rfam family "tRNA". Rfam says of the family: Transfer RNA (tRNA) molecules are approximately 80 nucleotides in length. Their secondary structure includes four short double-helical elements and three loops (D, anti-codon, and T loops). Further hydrogen bonds mediate the characteristic L-shaped molecular structure. tRNAs have two regions of fundamental functional importance: the anti-codon, which is responsible for specific mRNA codon recognition, and the 3' end, to which the tRNAs corresponding amino acid is attached (by aminoacyl-tRNA synthetases). tRNAs cope with the degeneracy of the genetic code in two manners: having more than one tRNA (with a specific anti-codon) for a particular amino acid; and 'wobble' base-pairing, i.e. permitting non-standard base-pairing at the 3rd anti-codon position. Lineage: Eukaryota; Metazoa; Chordata; Mammalia; Artiodactyla; Camelidae. The record is from Rfam by way of RNAcentral. RNAcentral also lists the same sequence under 3 other names.